CACUUCUUUUUCUUCUUCCUCAAGGACGUUUGCCACUACUAUUUUUAAAGUUGGAUAAGAAGAACUAAUAAGCCAGUCUAAUAAAAAUAACAAAGAAGAGGUUUUGAACCCAGAAAAAGAAAUAUUGUGAAACAAAAGUUACCCAAAAACAUGUAAGUUUCUAUUCUCAAUCUUAAGCUUUUACUCUCAAUCUUUAGUCCAAGUAUUUCUUCGACAUUAUACCAUAAUAAUGGCAAUGCUUCAGUUUUCUAUGUUACCUUUCUAAUUCUUCAUUUUCUUUCUCAUCUUCUUUUCUUUGGUGGGUUCUAUAAAACAACACUGUGUAAAUUAAGAUCGAAAG
Long non-coding RNA from Vigna unguiculata (cowpea), 340 nucleotides. The record is from RefSeq and is a predicted model, not a curated record. NCBI's taxonomy places the organism in Eukaryota, Viridiplantae, Streptophyta, Magnoliopsida, Fabales, Fabaceae.